This 364-nucleotide unclassified non-coding RNA is filed under the name uncultured fungus. RNAcentral describes it as "sequence contains ITS2". The stretch from base 1 to 154 matches the Rfam family "5.8S ribosomal RNA". Lineage: Eukaryota; Fungi. The record is from RNAcentral.
AACUUUCGACAACGGACCUCUUGGUUCUGGCAUCGAUGAAGAACGCAGCGAAAUGCGACAAGUAAUGUUAAUUGCAGAAUUCAGUGAAUCAUCGAAUCUUUGAACGCACAUUGCUCCCCCUGGUAUUCCGGGGGGCAUGACUGUUCGAGCGUCAUUACAACCCUCAAGCUCUGCUUGGUAUUGGGCCCCGCCAGUUCUGGCGGGCCCUAAAGUCAGUGGCGGGGCCUUCCGGCUCCGAGCGUAGUAAUUCUUCUCGCUCUGGAGACCCGGUUGUGUGCUUGCCAACAACCCCCAAUUUUUUAAGGUUGACCUCGGAUCAGGUAGGGAUACCCGCUGAACUUAAGCAUAUCAAUAAGCGGAGGCU